CAACAAAGAUUGGAUUCUACUCUCAUCUAUUCAUUUUAGGCCCUGAUUCUUGAAAUCAAGUGAUUAUUAAGGUCCCCAUGGAUCAUACCAAUUCAAAGAUUAGAACAGAUGCACCACCAAGCAAUACUCCAAACUGGACAAUUAAUGUUUCAGAUGUGAGGAAAAUACUUACUAAAAGUGCACACUAGUCGGUGCUUA
This is a non-coding RNA of Camellia sinensis, 198 nucleotides long. NCBI's taxonomy places the organism in Eukaryota, Viridiplantae, Streptophyta, Magnoliopsida, Ericales, Theaceae. The record is from RefSeq and is a predicted model, not a curated record.